Molecule: transfer RNA, 72 nt
Filed under: Osteochilus schlegelii (giant sharkminnow)
Lineage: Eukaryota; Metazoa; Chordata; Actinopteri; Cypriniformes; Cyprinidae
Description: tRNA-Asp
Rfam family: tRNA
About the family: Transfer RNA (tRNA) molecules are approximately 80 nucleotides in length. Their secondary structure includes four short double-helical elements and three loops (D, anti-codon, and T loops).
Source: RNAcentral
AAGAUAUUAGUAAAAUGAAUAUUACACCACCUUGUCAAGGUGAGAUCGUAGGUUAAACCCCUGCAUAUCUUA